CAGAAGGGAGCUUGCUCCCGGAUGUUAGCGGCGGACGGGUGAGUAACACGUGGGUAACCUGCCUGUAAGACUGGGAUAACUCCGGGAAACCGGAGCUAAUACCGGAUAGUUCCUUGAACCGCAUGGUUCAAGGAUGAAAGACGGUUUCGGCUGUCACUUACAGAUGGACCCGCGGCACAUUAGCUAGUUGGUGAGGUAACGGCUCACCAAGGCGACGAUGCGUAGCCGACCUGAGAGGGUGAUCGGCCACACUGGGACUGAGACCCGGCCCAGACUCCUACGGGAGGCAGCAGUAUGGGAAUCUUCCGCAAUGGACGAAAGUCUGAGCGGAGCAACGCCGCGUGAGUGAUGAAGGUUUUCGGAUCGUAAAGCUCUGUUGUUAGGGAAGAAACAAGUGCAAGAGUAAUCUGCUGCAC
Molecule: ribosomal RNA, 416 nt
Filed under: Bacillus sp. EF3B-B101
Lineage: Bacteria; Bacillati; Bacillota; Bacilli; Caryophanales; Bacillaceae
Description: bacterial SSU rRNA
Rfam family: Bacterial small subunit ribosomal RNA
Source: RNAcentral